RNAcentral lists this long non-coding RNA (3012 nucleotides) under Solanum tuberosum (potato). RNAcentral describes it as "long non-coding RNA (STUB_LNC010260)". The record is from RNAcentral. Lineage: Eukaryota; Viridiplantae; Streptophyta; Magnoliopsida; Solanales; Solanaceae.
AAAUAAAGUACUAGAUAAUGAAAUUAUUUAUUACAUGUCUAAUAAAUACAAUGUAAAGUACUUCCUAUAGUAAAAGAAAUUCUAGUAUGUCCAUCCUUCUUGGUUCCUUUUGGUGAGAUCACCACUUAUUGUAUUUCAUCGUUAAGUCUUCGUAUCUGUCACAGAAAGGUUAGUCAUAUCAUCCCUAAAGUUUAAUUAAUUAGAGCAAAUGGUCCAUAUUUAGGCAUAAAUAUUUCUCAAAUAUGCACAUAAAUAAUGAUAGGUCAUCACUUGGGGUCGGAAACCCACUUGGACAUUUAUGGUAAAGUCGACUAAUGGACUUAAUACACCAAGGGUAUAAAGUCUCUUAGGUCAUGAAAUGAUGUAUGUUCCUUGUAAAGUGUGUUGGUUUAGCUCUACUCUAGGUAAACUAGGAGUGGAUUUACUAGACACAAGGUUCCCGAGUGGACUACUCGAGUGAGAAGGCUACGCGGUCACACGAAAAAAGAUCCGGACACCCCGCGCAUAUGCCAACUCUCCUAAAUUUGGAGUUUUGAAAGAAAUUUGCGGGUGCGCAAAACACACCUCGCGUGUACGUGUGAUAGUGUAAAUUUCCAAGAAGUGGAGAAAUAUGAACGGAAUGACAGUUAAGAAAAGCAGUAACAUAUAAACAUUUAUAACAAACAAAUAAUUUAUAGCAUGUAAACAUAAUUUAUAUCAUAUGAAAAUAAUUCAAAGCAAACAAACAAUCAGUUGCAUGUAAAAACAGUUUACGACAAAUAACGUAAUUAAAGUAAGCACAUAAAAGCCUAAUUAAACAAAAUUCGUUGUGGUUAGAACCUAUUAAGUCCCCAGUGAAGUCGCCAAGCUGUUAUACCCCAUUUUAACCGGAUCAAAAUAGUGUACAACAUUUUGGAGAUUUCUAAAGUUAAUUGACUAAUUUAAGAAGUCGCCACCUAAUUAUUUAGGGUGAAUUAGGGCACCUAAAUUGAUUAAAGUCAUUGUCUAAAAUUAACUUCAUUUUAAGGUCCACUAAACAUGAGAAUCUAGAUAAGGGUUCAACUAAUCUAAAGGGAAGGAAUGAGGCAUCCUUUAAGAUCCAUUAAAAAUGGUUAACCGACCGAACUUAAUUAAUUAGGCUAAGUAUAAAAAUAGAAUAUUAGCAUAAGAGAGUGUUUGGAUAAAAAAUAGUUUAAAAGAAAAGGUAUAAAAUUUUAUGUCUAAACUAGCUUACAUGGACAAAUUUAAGUUAAAAUAAAUCAUUCCUUGUUUUGUCAAAUCCAUGGAAACAAAGUUAUUGCCAAUAAAACUUGAAAGUUAGAAAUAAAAAACACUAAAGUAAAAUCAUUUUUUAACUCACAAUCAUAGAUUUAUAAUUUCAUUUUUAGAAAGUUUGAAACUAAAAGGCUUAGAGUAUAGACUCAUCAUGACCAUAAUAAAAAUAGUAAUUUCAAAUUAUGAAAAUAACAUUAUUAACCCAAGGUGUUUUAAAAAAUAUAGUAAAUGUUGACAAAACUUGAGUACAUUAUUUUAUUUUAUUUUUUAAAAAGGACAUCAAGUGAUUAUUAGAGUAUUAAAGUGAAGUCUUAAAAAGGGUAUCAUAUUAUAAAUGACUAAAUAGCUACUGAUAUAGUUACGAAUAAAAUUCUUGUGUUAAUCGCAAGUCCUAAUGGAUUAGCAAAUAAUUAAAAUUUAGUUUUAAAUCAUACAAGCAAGCAAAUGUAGAUAGGUAAACCAUCAUAAUGCAUCAAAGUAGUGAAACAUUUUGCCAACUUUCGACGACUCUUGAGUGACCACGAAAGAAAAUAUAACGGACAACUUUGCAUUCUCAAAAUUUUUCCUCCUCUGUUCAGAUUUUUUAGGAGGGGGGCGAGAGAAACAAAUGGCAAGGAAUGGAGAAUAAAUGCCGGUCACAGGUCUAGCGACGAAAUAGAGUCUUAAGCAGGACUCGUAGAACUCGUCAACUCCGGUAUUCAUGCAAACAAAGAAAACGGAAAAAAGAAGUAGUUAGUAAGGGUAAACAGAUUCACGAUAAGUUAGAACUUGUAUUUGGAAGAAAAGAAUAUAAUAAAUCAUAAUCCAGGAAUAACCAACAGAGCGGAACAUGUGAUUAAACAUAGACCUCUUUAAAUAAGAAAAACAAACCCAACAAGUCGAUGUUAUUGGCAUAACACAAGCUUGUAUUUUCAAUACAAGAAAUAUAGUCUCAAAUUCAUGUUUUGGUGCAGAUGGUCAUAUUUAAGGCCAAGUAAUAAUAUUUCCUUACCCAACAUUUAUUCUUGUGGUUAUCCUGCUUUUAACUUGGCAUGAUUAUAUUUAACGAUGUAAACAAAAAAAAACUUUUAUGAAUCAAUGCUAUACAUGAAAUAAAACUGGCAACAAAAUAUUGCUACGACUAAACUUUACCAUAACUUAAAACUAAACAAAAUAUGACUUAUUACUUACUAGUACUCAUAUUCCGGUUAGCAUAAGAAAACAUACAGUAAAUGAUUCAGCUUGAAAGAAACACCAUUUUUUAUGAACUUUAUUUAUAUCACUUCUAACAACAAAAACAGUGUAUAAAUCAGAAUAGGUUCAGAUUUUCACCUUUUGUGGAGCAGUGAACUUGGUCGUUGAUCAAAGAUCUAAUCUCGUUCUUCCGACAAAAUCGAGCAAAAUAGAGAAUAGAAUAGAAAAUAUUCCGUAAGAUGAUAUUGAAAUAUAAGAGAGGAGUGUUCUUGAGAAUGCUUAAACUUGUUCCUGAUUUCUUUUGCAAGAAAAAAAAAACUCCCCUUCAAUGACUAAACAGAGGGAGUAUUUAUAGAGAGGGUUAAAUCUCUGGGAUCAUUUGGGCGGGAUUUCGAGUUGAAAAAUAUGUAUUUUGAAAUUUGAACGUUGUCUUUUGGUCAAGCUUCACGUGAAUUGGUCAGAGCUGAGUGAUAGAGAUGGAGACAGUUCUGGAAAAGCACCCCUCUUGCACCAAAAUGACGUAUCAACUCUGGUUUUGCCCAAAAGAGUUUGAAGGUUCUGUCUCGAAUGGGAUAGCGUGAGAAA